GAUGAAUGCUGGCGGCGUGCCUAAUACAUGCAAGUCGAGCGGUAAGGCCCUUCGGGGUACACGAGCGGCGGACGGCUGAGUAACGCGUGGGAACAUGCCCCAAAGUGAGGGAUAACGCACCGAAAGGUGUGCUAAUACCGCAUAUGGUCUUCGGAUUAAAGGAUUUAUCCGCUUUGGGAGUGGCCCGCGUACGAUUAGAUUGUUGGUGAGGUAACGGCUCACCAAGUCGACGAUCGUUAACUGGUCUGAGAGGAUGAUCAGUCAGACUGGAACUGAGACACGGUCCAGACUCCUACGGGAGGCAGCAGUAAGGAAUCUUCCACAAUGGGCGAAAGCCUGAUGGAGCAACGCCGCGUGCAGGAUGAAGGCCUCGGUCGUAACUGCUUUAUGAGUGAAGAA
RNAcentral lists this ribosomal RNA (399 nucleotides) under uncultured bacterium. RNAcentral's name for it is "bacterial SSU rRNA". It matches the Rfam family "Bacterial small subunit ribosomal RNA", at positions 28 to 449 of the family's 1533-position model. The record is from RNAcentral.